UUUUAUAUUUCUUAUGGCACUCGCGACAUUCUACCGAACGUAUCCUUUUCGAGCAAACACUUUGGUCGAAUGCGCACGCGAACACUUUACUCGAAACCGAAAGCACGAUGCCGCGCUUUACACGUAAAUACGACCUCUGCUACGUACGAUCUGACAUGGACGGCACGACGGCACUCUCAACACGACAUCGUACCUGCAUAACACCGCACAAUUCAAUUCUGAAUACGCGAGACACGCACGGAGUCGACAGAGCGUCUGAUAUGUCUGACCGGCGGCGCUAGCACCACUAGAGUGGCGUACGUGACUGGAACGCGGAGCAACGGAGCAACAUGGCGGCAGCGGCGCAGGCGCGGCGAGUCAACCGCCUAACAACGCCGAGUGGCGCCGACUAGCGCCGAGUACCGCCGAGUCUGUCUGCCAGCGGUCACGUACGCCAUGUUACCUCGCGUUCUAGCGCCGGUCGGAUGAUCUGUUAUGCCAAUACUGAAACUUUAGUAUUUCGAGCUGUGCUACGAUUAGUUCGACACACGUAAGUACAUUAUACACAUCGUGCUCUGAAUAUUCGGUGAGCCACCGCGUGACCUACGUGACCUACAUUCGAUAGAGUGGAUAAGUAGACAGUGCUCGGCUGUGAUCUAUUCGACCGAACGUAGGUCACGUAGCCUACGGCAGAGCGCGCAACGGACCAACGGAACGGACAGACGGAGCGUGAUGUGUGUACGUGAGUGUGCUCGGGCUUUUGGAUCGCAGGCAUCGCAGUAUAAAUUUCGAGCUCGAGUUCUGCCGUGGAUGUGACGUUGGAGUGCCGAAUGUAGUAGCAAAUGAACAUCUCGAUACGCGAGUCACAGUGUCGUUCGUGGAAAUGGGUCGUAUGCAUUCGUAAAGCGCGAUAUCGUGUAUUCGUGUGCUUGUGCCUCGCCUGGCGACAAGCUAAAUUUUCCCGCGUAUUUCGCGUUUUACGCGAUUGUGUUCGUGCAUUAUCCGCGCAAUGUCGGGAUUCUCGGAUAAUUUCCUCAUCGAUAACGUUUUCGCGAGUGAAUCUUGUGCGAGCAUCGUGAAGAAACGGUGUCGAACCAAUAGUUUCGCGGAAUUACACAUUCUUCCGUUUUCAAAAUAAAAAUGUCGGACAUAAUCGUCGUCAGGAAUGUACAAGGAAUGCUUUGAUGGAGCAACGAUAAGAAAUUUGAGAGAAAGAGGAGAAGGAGGAGGUUCGGGAGCAUCAAGUGCCAGCAGAACAAUCAUGGAUUAAUAUAUACGCCAACUCCGCUGUUGCUUAUCAGUAAGUCUGAAACUAUUUUUAUUUUAACUUGAGAUCUAUAUAUCACUUCUCCA
Monomorium pharaonis (pharaoh ant) is the source of this 1332-nucleotide long non-coding RNA. RefSeq lists it as uncharacterized. NCBI's taxonomy places the organism in Eukaryota, Metazoa, Arthropoda, Insecta, Hymenoptera, Formicidae. The transcript is spliced from 3 exons. The record is from RefSeq and is a predicted model, not a curated record.